GCAGUGCGUGGCCGAAUGGUUACACUGUCCGCUUUGUAAGCGGAUGAUUCUGGGUUCGAUUACCAUCUGCUGCA
RNAcentral lists this transfer RNA (74 nucleotides) under Culex quinquefasciatus (southern house mosquito). RNAcentral describes it as "tRNA-Thr". The record is from RNAcentral. Lineage: Eukaryota; Metazoa; Arthropoda; Insecta; Diptera; Culicidae.